Molecule: non-coding RNA, 22 nt
Filed under: Arabidopsis thaliana (thale cress)
Lineage: Eukaryota; Viridiplantae; Streptophyta; Magnoliopsida; Brassicales; Brassicaceae
Source: RNAcentral
AUCAUAGGGUGUCAAAAUGGGU